This 178-nucleotide small nuclear RNA is filed under the name Cebus imitator (Panamanian white-faced capuchin). Its description in RNAcentral is "U1 spliceosomal RNA (ENSCCAG00000000975.1)". The stretch from base 1 to 125 matches the Rfam family "U1 spliceosomal RNA". From Rfam's summary of the family: U1 is a small nuclear RNA (snRNA) component of the spliceosome (involved in pre-mRNA splicing). Its 5' end forms complementary base pairs with the 5' splice junction, thus defining the 5' donor site of an intron. The record is from RNAcentral. Lineage: Eukaryota; Metazoa; Chordata; Mammalia; Primates; Cebidae.
GUAUUUACCUGGCAGAAGGACCUCCAUGAUCACAAAGCUGGCCUUCCCACGGCAAGGCUCAUCCAUUGCACUCCAGAUGAGCUGACCCCUGUGGUUUCUUCAUACGUGGGGAACUGCACUCACUCUCCCCUGCAAAAAAAAUACAUAAGUAGGCUGGGCACAGUGGCCCGUGCCUGUA